GGACCACCGCAGGACCACCAGCUCUAAAAAUGAGCGGCUAGCCAGCAGAGGACCGAUGUUAACCCGCUCGAUGGCUACCACUGGCGCUCUAGCAGCUACGAGCCGCCGAUCAGCCGCCAAGAGUGGGCCACGACAGCGGACUGGAGGCGCUUCACCUCACCGGGUUGUUUCGCGUCUGUUGCGGCGGUGCGCGCGGCUCGAGUGUCGGGGUUUCCAACGGAUUACAUCAGGGGCUGAUUUAAGCGCCUUACGUCACAUCCGGCAUGUCAGAGCAGUGCGCACAAGAGCUCGGCGUUCAGGAGACGAAGAAUCAACAGACGUAGCAGCGCAAGCUGAAGAGAGAAGGAGGCUCGAAAACAGCGAAUAUGCAAGAACCUGAGGAGGAAGGAGAGUCGUCAAGGAAGAAAAGCAAACCUGAAAAUAUUGUGUCUAAAUCCAAAAAAAAAAAAAA
Molecule: long non-coding RNA, 451 nt
Organism: Polypterus senegalus (gray bichir)
Lineage: Eukaryota; Metazoa; Chordata; Cladistia; Polypteriformes; Polypteridae
Exons: 2
Source: RefSeq, a predicted model, not a curated record